UGAGGAAUAUUGGUCAAUGGGCGAGAGCCUGAACCAGCCAAGUAGCGUGCAGGAUGACGGCCCUAUGGGUUGUAAACUGCUUUUAUAUGGGAAUAAAGUGAGGGACGUGUCCCUUAUUGCAUGUACCAUAUGAAUAAGGACCGGCUAAUUCCGUGCCAGCAGCCGCGGUAAUACGGAAGGUCCAGGCGUUAUCCGGAUUUAUUGGGUUUAAAGGGAGCGUAGGCUGUUUGUUAAGCGUGUUGUGAAAUGUAAGAGCUCAACUUUUAGAUUGCAGCGCGAACUGGCAGACUUGAGUGCGCACAACGUAGGCGGAAUUCAUGGUGUAGCAGUGAAAUGCUUAGAUAUCAUGACGAACUCCGAUUGCGAAGGCAGCUUACGGGAGCGCAACUGACGCUAAAGCUCGAAGGUGCGGGUAUCGAACAGG
This 424-nucleotide ribosomal RNA is filed under the name Verrucomicrobiota bacterium. RNAcentral's name for it is "Verrucomicrobia bacterium partial 16S ribosomal RNA". It matches the Rfam family "Bacterial small subunit ribosomal RNA", at positions 355 to 776 of the family's 1533-position model. Lineage: Bacteria; Pseudomonadati; Verrucomicrobiota. The record is from RNAcentral.